UACGGAGGGUGCAAGCGUUAUCCGGAUUCACUGGGUUUAAAGGGUGCGUAGGUGGGCAAGUAAGUCAGUGGUGAAAUCUCUGGGCUUAACCCGGAAACUGCCAUUGAUACUAUUUGUCUUGAAUACUGUGGAGGUCAGCGGAAUAUGUCAUGUAGCGGUGAAAUGCUUAGAUAUGACAUAGAACACCAAUUGCGAAGGCAGCUGGCUACACAAAUAUUGACACUGAGGCACGAAAGCGUGGGGAUCAAACAGG
This 253-nucleotide ribosomal RNA is filed under the name uncultured bacterium. RNAcentral describes it as "partial 16S ribosomal RNA". It matches the Rfam family "Bacterial small subunit ribosomal RNA", at positions 524 to 776 of the family's 1533-position model. The record is from RNAcentral.